RNAcentral lists this ribosomal RNA (721 nucleotides) under uncultured bacterium. RNAcentral's name for it is "bacterial SSU rRNA". It matches the Rfam family "Bacterial small subunit ribosomal RNA", at positions 60 to 777 of the family's 1533-position model. The record is from RNAcentral.
AGUCGAGCGGAUGAAGGAGCUUGCUCCUGGAUUCAGCGGCGGACGGGUGAGUAAUGCCUAGGAAUCUGCCUGGUAGUGGGGGACAACGUUUCGAAAGGAACGCUAAUACCGCAUACGUCCUACGGGAGAAAGCAGGGGACCUUCGGGCCUUGCGCUAUCAGAUGAGCCUAGGUCAGAUUAGCUAGUUGGUGAGGUAAUGGCUCACCAAGGCGACGAUCCGUAACUGGUCUGAGAGGAUGAUCAGUCACACUGGAACUGAGACACGGUCCAGACUCCUACGGGAGGCAGCAGUGGGGAAUAUUGGACAAUGGGCGAAAGCCUGAUCCAGCCAUGCCGCGUGUGUGAAGAAGGUCUUCGGAUUGUAAAGCACUUUAAGUUGGGAGGAAGGGUCGUAGAUUAAUACUCUGCAAUUUUGACGUUACCGACAGAAUAAGCACCGGCUAACUCUGUGCCAGCAGCCGCGGUAAUACAGAGGGUGCAAGCGUUAAUCGGAAUUACUGGGCGUAAAGCGCGCGUAGGUGGUUUGUUAAGUUGGAUGUGAAAUCCCCGGGCUCAACCUGGGAACUGCAUCCAAAACUGGCAAGCUAGAGUAUGGUAGAGGGUGGUGGAAUUUCCUGUGUAGCGGUGAAAUGCGUAGAUAUAGGAAGGAACACCAGUGGCGAAAGCGACCACCUGGACUGAUACUGACACUGAGGUGCGAAAGCGUGGGGAGCAAACAGGA